AGACAGUUACCAUGCCCUUUCGAAAGGAGUCAGGUUUUAAACCUAAUGGCUCUUUCAUGAUUAUAUGAUAGGUGGUGCAUGGCCGUUCUUAGUUCGUGGAGUGAUCUGUCUGCUUAAUUGCGUUUCAAAUUUUUAUUUGAGGACCAGGUUUUGGUUUGGGUAGUGGUCCUACGAUGACUGUGAACUGUCAUGUCUUCGGAUGUGCGACUAUCGGUCUAGGAUCGCAUCUCAGCCCCUGGGACUCUUUUGAACGCAACGGACGUGAUUGCAACCCCUUGUUGAGAUUAGAGGAGUCUCGAUAUUCAUUGGCCAAACUUACCGCUUCG
RNAcentral lists this ribosomal RNA (326 nucleotides) under Globigerinoides ruber ruber. RNAcentral's name for it is "partial small subunit ribosomal RNA". The record is from RNAcentral. Lineage: Eukaryota; Foraminifera; Rotaliida; Globigerinidae.